Molecule: long non-coding RNA, 1159 nt
Filed under: Strongylocentrotus purpuratus (purple sea urchin)
Lineage: Eukaryota; Metazoa; Echinodermata; Echinoidea; Camarodonta; Strongylocentrotidae
Description: uncharacterized LOC115923987
Source: RNAcentral
GAGGUUGACAAACUACGGUUACGAAACCAUAGUUAAACCAUGGUUUUAGAAUUGUUCUGAUACCAUAGUUAUAAAAACAUGGUUAAACCAUGGUUUUACCACAAAUCAAACAACGGUCUGACCGUAGUUAACUACACUUUUGACAUGGUCUCAACACGAGUAUUAAAAAAAAUUAAAAAAAACUACUAUCAUGUAACCAAUGUAGUUAUGACCACUAUAUACAUAAUACAUGUAUGACCAGCACUACUCGAUUGUUUUGAUGACCUUGAACUGAUUCGAUAAUAUGGAAUUGUAACAAUUUGCCCCAAAAUAAAUACAAUUAUUAGUGUGUUUGCUGCCAUCUAGUGGUGGAAUGCACACUGUAUUUCCAAUUUUGAAUUUCUUCACUCCAGCCAUUACUUUGCCGUUUCGCCAAAUUUGUCUUCCUUUAAAACCCAGAAUAUAGGGGAUAAGGGUUAGAUUUACACCAGGAAAGAAGAAUUGUACGAGACUAAGAGUAUUCCAGAGCAAGAAUUGGACAACAUGAAGAACUCGAAGUAGAUCUAGAUUUCAAUUUACCAGACAGUCACACUGGUCUACAUACUACAGUACAGUCCCACACAGCCACUCAUGUGUGGGAAAAUAUCGGUCUGCAGAAAACGACCAACUUUGCUUUGCUGCUGGAGCUAUACUUUAAGGUCAACAUUUUCUCCAGGAGGGUAUCUUCGGCUGCGGGAAAGUCAUCAACAUGGACUGUUCCAGUGAACAUGCAGUCUUGAUUUGUAAGACUAAACUGUCCAACAAACUUCACGGAAAUUAUGCAAGACAUGGGUGAGAGUUUGAGAAUUCAUCUGUAUGGGAUCCCUAUAGAGGAGAGCUUUUCAAAAUUAUACCAGUUAUGCUGACCAGCAAACAUUCAGCAAGUACAUCCAGUACAAUCGACCCUGUCACCUUUGUUCGGUCGGAAGGAAUCUGAGAAAGUAAUCUUCAAUACACAGCUUUUUUUCGAGCAAAACUUUUAAAUUUGCCGCACAGAUGUGACGUAUACGCCUCUGUCUGUGUUGUGAGGACCCUACGUCACAAAAAAUGUCGCGCAAUGCAUUGUGAGAGGAACCGGCUCGAUCAUUCACUUGUUUUUUGCUCAUUAAAGCCUUACUGCACUCCUUUUAGCUACUUGCUC